Aegilops tauschii subsp. strangulata is the source of this 1558-nucleotide long non-coding RNA. RefSeq lists it as uncharacterized. The record is from RefSeq and is a predicted model, not a curated record. NCBI's taxonomy places the organism in Eukaryota, Viridiplantae, Streptophyta, Magnoliopsida, Poales, Poaceae.
CCACCUCUGUCGAUUCCCCCCGGCUCCCGCACCAUCCCAUCAUCGCCCUGGAUCCCGCCGCCGCCCCCUGACCAACCUGCCUCCCGCCGCCGCCCCCCGACCCCGACGCACCUCCUACCGCCGGCCACCCGACCCCAACGCCCACCUCCUGCCGCCGGCCAACCGACCCCAACGCCCACCCGCUUCCGCCCGCCGGAGCCGCCGCGCCCCAACUCGCGAGCUCCGCCGCCGCCGGCGAAGCCCCCGCGCCCUGUUACCGGAUCCACCGGCCGCAGCGACGCGAUGCCCACCUCCGCCCCCUUCCCCCGGCGAUCCCGACCCCGUACUGCAUCGGGACACCGCCGGUGGCCUCGGAUCUGAGCACUGGCCACUAGUUCUGCGGAUGCUCACGCGGGGGUUGUGCUACUCCGGCGAGCUCCUUCAUGCUCGACCACGGCGCGCCGACGGCGCCCUCCUCCCUCUCGUUCCCUCUUCCAUCCCCGAGCCCAAAUCCGACGAGCUUGUCAACCGGCGAGCCUUGCUGUCCCUAGUGCUGCCACCACCCGAUGUCCACCGUGCCUACCUGUGAUGCACCUGCAGCUAGAGGAGGGCUCGGCCUGCAGCAAGAGGAGGGCACGACCUGCAGCUGCGUGGCCACAUCCGGCAGAAAAGAUAGAGGCGGCUGGGUCAUGGAUCUUGCACGCGCCCCUCCGGCCAGGAGGCUGCCUAGCUGCUGAAUCUCCCUAACGCCACCAGUACGUGAUUUUGAGACACGGGGCCGUCGCAAUCCAAGGUCGCCGGCACUGUUAGGCCGGAGUUGGGAGGCGGUGGUGAAGUUUCUGGGAAGUCCAAUGUCUCCUGUGCGGCCUGUGGGUCGUCCGCUACGCCGCCGCGACCUGCAACACUUUGGGGCGAACAUCAUCGUAACGUUCUCCCUCCGCACAAGUUCGCUGCCUCGCUCGCGAGCACUUCAUGCGACCAGCCAUCUCUCAUCGCUAUUUUGCAUCGGGAUGCCAUCCGUCGAUUUGCAAAGAAAACAGAAGUUCAGUGCAUACGUCCUUCAAUUCACCAUCUCUCACAUUGUUAGUUAAAAAAGAAGCACAAGACGGCGCUGGCAGGUGGAUGUGUUGUAUCAGAACAUGAAGUGCUGGUUGAAGCUAGUCCCAUGCGGAGCUACUAGUGCUUCUCUUUUUGUAAUUGAUUAGCUGUUGCUGUUGUCCUAGGUUGUUUUGGUCUUAAAUUAUUCACCAUCUCUCACAUUGUUAGUUAAAACAGAAGUUCAGAAGCAUAUGAUUCUCUGCUCUGUUUAUUUGCCUACAAACUAUUCCGCCCAAGUGCUAUGCAGCCGGGCCGAGGGAGCAGUGCCAAGCUACAACCCGUGAUGUUGUUGACGGCCAGGUGCUCCAUCACGGGCAGUUCAAAAAUACUAAUGCUAGUCGGCCGUAUAGGUUUAGUAGUGGUAAAUGCUUCGGGUCUUGAUGUUUGGCCGUACUUGAGGUAACAUGCUUGAGGUUCAGCUUGGUACAUUAUAUGGGAGCAGUUUUGAUCUGGUCUUUUUCUGCGGUUUGGCACCAUGUUA